RNAcentral lists this ribosomal RNA (357 nucleotides) under Ehrlichia canis. Its description in RNAcentral is "bacterial SSU rRNA". It matches the Rfam family "Bacterial small subunit ribosomal RNA", at positions 92 to 464 of the family's 1533-position model. Lineage: Bacteria; Pseudomonadati; Pseudomonadota; Alphaproteobacteria; Rickettsiales; Anaplasmataceae. The record is from RNAcentral.
GUAGUGGCGACGGGUGAGUAAUGCGUAGGAAUCUACCUAGUAGUACGGAAUAGCCAUUAGAAAUGGUGGGUAAUACUGUAUAAUCCCCGAGGGGGAAAGAUUUAUCGCUAUUAGAUGAGCCUACGUUAGAUUAGCUAGUUGGUGAGGUAAUGGCUUACCAAGGCUAUGAUCUAUAGCUGGUCUGAGAGGACGAUCAGCCACACUGGAACUGAGAUACGGUCCAGACUCCUACGGGAGGCAGCAGUGGGGAAUAUUGGACAAUGGGCGAAAGCCUGAUCCAGCUAUGCCGCGUGAGUGAAGAAGGCCUUCGGGUUGUAAAACUCUUUCAAUAGGGAAGAUAAUGCGGGUUACCUAUAA